Molecule: ribosomal RNA, 445 nt
Filed under: uncultured bacterium
Lineage: Bacteria
Description: partial 16S ribosomal RNA
Rfam family: Bacterial small subunit ribosomal RNA
Source: RNAcentral
GUGAGGAAUAUUGGUCAAUGGACGAGAGUCUGAACCAGCCAAGUCGCGUGAAGGGAGACGGUUCUAUGAAUUGUAAACUUCUUUUGUGCAGGAAUAAAGUGGGUUACGUGUAACCUUUUGUAUGUACUGUACGAAUAAGGAUCGGCUAACUCCGUGCCAGCAGCCGCGGUAAUACGGAGGAUCCGAGCGUUAUCCGGAUUUAUUGGGUUUAAAGGGUGCGUAGGUGGAUUGAUAAGUCAGCGGUGAAAGUUUGCAGCUUAACUGUAAAAUUGCCGUUGAAACUGUCGGGCUUGAGUGCAAAUGAGGUAGGCGGAAUGUGUUGUGUAGCGGUGAAAUGCUUAGAUAUAACACAGAACUCCGAUUGCGAAGGCAGCUUACUGGGAUGCAACUGACACUGAUGCACGAAAGCGUGGGUAUCAAACAGGAUUAGAAACCCCUGUAGUCC